ACCGAACGUGCCGUACUGGCCGGCGGCUGCUUCUGGGGUAUGCAGGAUUUGAUUCGUAAAUUGCCAGGCGUGAUCUCUUCACGAGUCGGCU
Molecule: transfer RNA, 91 nt
Filed under: Methylophaga muralis
Lineage: Bacteria; Pseudomonadati; Pseudomonadota; Gammaproteobacteria; Thiotrichales; Piscirickettsiaceae
Description: tRNA-Pro
Source: RNAcentral